GACGAACGCUGGUGGCGCGCUUAACACAUGCAAGUCGAACGGAAAGGCCCUGCUCUUGUGGGGUGCUUGAGUGGCGAACGGGUGUGUAACACGUGAGUAACCUGCCCCUGACCUUGGGAUAACUUCUGGAAACUGGGGCUACUACCCGAUAGGAUCUCCUGCUGCACGGUGGGGGUCGGAACGUUUCGGCGGCUGGGGAUGGACUCGCGGCUUAUCAGCUCGUUGGUUGGGCAGUGGCUUACCAAGGCCGUGACGUGUAGCCGGCCUGGGAGGGUGACCGGCCACAGUGGGACUGAGCUACGGCCGAGACUCCUACAGGAGGCAACAGAGUGGAAUAUUGCACAAUGGGCGGAAGCCUGAUGCAGCAACGCCGCGUGCGGGAAGACGGCCUUCGAGUUGAAGACCGCUUUCGCCGGUGACGGAGAGUGAGUGACGGUAAGGGGUAAAGAAAGACCGGCUAACUAGGUG
RNAcentral lists this ribosomal RNA (468 nucleotides) under uncultured bacterium. Its description in RNAcentral is "partial 16S ribosomal RNA". It matches the Rfam family "Bacterial small subunit ribosomal RNA", at positions 28 to 507 of the family's 1533-position model. The record is from RNAcentral.